ACGAACGCUGGCGGCGCGCCUAACACAUGCAAGUCGAACGGAGCUGAGAGAAGCUUGCUUUUCUUAGCUUAGUGGCGAACGGGUGAGUAACGCGUGAGUAACCUGCCCUGGAGUGGGGGACAACAGUUGGAAACGACUGCUAAUACCGCAUAAGCCCACGAUCCGGCAUCGGAUUGAGGGAAAAGGAUUUAUUCGCUUCAGGAUGGACUCGCGUCCAAUUAGCUAGUUGGUGAGGUAACGGCCCACCAAGGCGACGAUUGGUAGCCGGACUGAGAGGUUGAACGGCCACAUUGGGACUGAGACACGGCCCAGACUCCUACGGGAGGCAGCAGUGGGGGAUAUUGCACAAUGGGGGAAACCCUGAUGCAGCAACGCCGCGUGGAGGAAGAAGGUUUUCGGAUUGUAAACUCCUGUCGUUAGGGACGAUAAUGACGGUACCUAACAAGAAAGCACCGGCUAACUACGUG
This 467-nucleotide ribosomal RNA is filed under the name uncultured bacterium. Its description in RNAcentral is "partial 16S ribosomal RNA". It matches the Rfam family "Bacterial small subunit ribosomal RNA", at positions 29 to 507 of the family's 1533-position model. The record is from RNAcentral.